This 253-nucleotide ribosomal RNA is filed under the name uncultured bacterium. RNAcentral describes it as "partial 16S ribosomal RNA". It matches the Rfam family "Bacterial small subunit ribosomal RNA", at positions 524 to 776 of the family's 1533-position model. The record is from RNAcentral.
UACGUAGGGCGCAAGCGUUGUCCGGAAUUAUUGGGCGUAAAGAGCUCGUAGGCGGCUCGGCAAGUCGGUCGUGAAAUGCCGGGGCUCAACCCCGGGACUGCGUCCGAUACUCCCGAGCUGGAGGCAGGUAGGGGAGAUCGGAAUUCCUGGUGUAGCGGUGAAAUGCGCAGAUAUCAGGAGGAACACCGGUGGCGAAGGCGGAUCUCUGGGCCGAUACUGACGCUGAGGAGCGAAAGCGUGGGGAGCGAGCAGG